This 2892-nucleotide ribosomal RNA is filed under the name Triticum aestivum (bread wheat). RNAcentral's name for it is "partial small subunit ribosomal RNA". The record is from RNAcentral. Lineage: Eukaryota; Viridiplantae; Streptophyta; Magnoliopsida; Poales; Poaceae.
AUGUUAGACCUGGCCCCGCGACGGAGGUGGAUCAAAGGGCGACUAGCGGCAGCGCCCCGGCCGGCCGGAGGGGAAUCUAGGAGGGACAGUCAGACGCACCGACCUGGCCGCCCGACGGAGGUGGCUUCCUCCGUUCCGUCCAGAUCCACGGGCGGGACGCUGGACGUGUGGAGCGGAGCGCCGGAGGAGCCGCGCCUACGGCUCCGGGCCGCAUACAAGCGAUUGGUUCUGCUUCUAACCAAGGUUUCAACCGGCCUCCGAAUCUCGUCGCCGCCGCCACCGCCGCCGGACAAGUUCAACAUCGACGACCCAGACGAGGACAGAAUCAACGCGCUCACCGACGACAUCCUCCUCGGAAUCCUCGAGCGCCUCGACCUGCGCGACGCGGUCCGCGCCAGCGCAGUCUCCACGCGGUGGCGGCACCUCCCCCACCGGCUCUCGCGCCUGCACCUCGACGUCCGCCACUUCGGCGGAGCGACUGAUCCGGUCGCGACCAUGGAGGCGUUCACGGCAGCGAUGUGCAGGCUACUAUCUCCUCCGGCUCCCGCCGAGUGCAAGCGCGCCAUCAAGACCCUCCUGCUCGACUUCUUCCCUGAGUCGGACCCUCAUCACCUGAGCUUCAUAGGCCGCGCUGUCGAGGACGUCGUCGCCCGCGGCGAGACUGAAUGUCUUGAAUUUUACAUACGCUCGCCACGCAAGGAACUCCCUGGCGGGGUGCCUACCGAGUCCGCGCGGCAGUUCAUGUCCUUCUCCCGUGCCUGCCCGGUUGCCUUCCGGUGGCUCACCGUGCUAACUCUCACGCAACUCAUGUUGGGAGACACCGACGUGGCCGAGAUCAUUAUGUCUUGCGACAAGCUCAAGCACCUUACCCUUAGAUACUGCAUAGUAGACGACGAGCACUCCACGGUCAAGAUCGACACGCCGUGUUCUGGGCUCCAGGUGCUCGACUUGUUCCGCGUUGUUUGCACGCGGGUCGAGCUUGUCGCUGUCCCCAAGCUCAGGCAAGUGUCGUGCGAAUCAUGGCACUGGGGGAACCCUCCUGUGAGCUUCGGCUACGUUCCAGACCUUCGCGAUGUGACCUUCAGUUGUCAUUCCAUGACGUGGCAGGCGCCAUUCUUGCUGAGCGAGUGCCUGUCAAGGAGUGCCACAAACCUGUCUAAACUCACUAUUAAUUUUUGCUGCCAAAUGUUGUCCCGAGAUCGGUAUGCAUGUGUCGGAACGGUCGAGGACAGCGCCGAGAAGACCAAUGUUGUGUGGGACCCAUCCAAGAAUUUGAAGCACCUGAACUUGAAGUCGCUGUUGAUGUCCGGGUUCGAGGAGAAAGACAAAGUGACAAACUACAUAAGGCUAGUCAUGGAGCGAGCUGCGGGAUUGAAGAGAAUCGAGAUAUCCACAUACUUCUCUGCCCACAAACAAGAAAAUAUUUGUGAGAUGUUAGACCUGGCCGCGCGACGGAGGUGGAUCAAUGGGCGACUAGCGGCAGCGCCCCGGCCGGCCGGAGGGGAAUCUAGGAGGGACAGUCAGACGCACCGACCUGGCCGCGCGACGGAGGUGGCUUCCUCCGUUCCGUCCAGAUCCACGGGCGGGACGCUGGACGUGUGGAGCGGAGCGCCGGAGGAGCCGCGCCUACGGCUCCGGGCCGCAUACAAGCGAUUGGUUCUGCUUCUAACCAAGGUUUCAACCGGCCUCCGAAUCUCGUCGCCGCCGCCACCGCCGCCGGACAAGCUCAACAUCGACGACCCAGAUGAGGACAGAAUCAGCGCGCUCACCGACGACAUCCUCCUCGGAAUCCUCGAACGCCUCGACCUGCGCGACGCGGUCCGCGCCGGCGCAGUCUCCACGCGGUGGCGGCACCUCCCCCACCGGCUCUCGCGCCUGCACCUCGACGUCCGCCACUUCGGCGGGGCGACUGAUCCGGUCGCGACCAUGGAGGCGUUCACGGCCGCGAUGUGCAUGCUACUGUCUCCUCCGGCCGAGUGCAAGCGCGCCAUCAAGACCCUCCUCCUCGACUUCUUCCCUGAGUCGAACCCUCACCUGAGAUCCAUAGGCCGCGCCAUUGAGGACGUUGUCACCCGCGGUGAGACUGAAUGUCUUGAAUUUUACAUACGCUCGACAUGCGCGGAAGAAGCUGGCGGGGUGCGUGCGCAGUCCGCGAAGGAGUUCAUGUCCUUCUCCCGUGACUGCCCAGUUGCGUUCCGGUGGCUCACCGUGCUUACUCUCACGCAACUCAUGUUCGGAGACACCGAUGUGGCCGAAAUCAUUAGGGCUUGCGAUAACCUCAAGCACCUGACCCUUAGAUUCUGCACACUGGUUGAGGAGCACUCCACGUCCACGGUCAAGAUCGACACGCCGUGCUCUGGGCUUCAGGCCAGGGGGAACCCCCCGGUGAGCUUCGGCUACGUUCCAGAGCUUUGCGAUGUGACCUUCAGCUCUCAUGCCAUGACGUGGCAGGCACCAUUCUUGCUGAGCGAGUGCAUGUCAAGGAGUGCCACCAACCUGUCUAAACUCUCUUUUAAUUUUUCUUGCCAAAUGAUUUGGAUUAAGCCGGAACAUCCAAAGCACCUCACUGCUAUGUUCAGAAACCUGACCGAUGUGUAUCUUUUUGGUAUCUUCCCUGAGUGUGAUCUGAGCUGGACCCUGUUUAUCCUUGAAGCUGCACCUGCGCUGCAGAUUUUCAAAGUAUGUGCCGAGAAGACCAAUGUGGUGUGGGACCCAUCCAAGAAUUUGAAGCAUCUGAACUUGAAGUCGCUGAUGAUGUUCGGGUUCGAGGAGGAAGACAAGGUGACAAACUACAUAAGGCUAGUCAUGGAGCGAGCUGUGGGAUUGAAGAGAAUCGAGAUGUAUGGUGUACACCCAUACAUUGAAGAUGCAUUCGAUUCUAAUCAGAUUUAA